UCCCAGUUAGUACAAUGGUCAGUAUAUAUCGCUCUCAAUCUCGAGAUUCGAUCCGAUAAGAUCAGGGUUCGAUUCCCUGGCCGGGAA
This 87-nucleotide transfer RNA is filed under the name Kalmanozyma brasiliensis GHG001. It matches the Rfam family "tRNA". Rfam says of the family: Transfer RNA (tRNA) molecules are approximately 80 nucleotides in length. Their secondary structure includes four short double-helical elements and three loops (D, anti-codon, and T loops). Further hydrogen bonds mediate the characteristic L-shaped molecular structure. tRNAs have two regions of fundamental functional importance: the anti-codon, which is responsible for specific mRNA codon recognition, and the 3' end, to which the tRNAs corresponding amino acid is attached (by aminoacyl-tRNA synthetases). tRNAs cope with the degeneracy of the genetic code in two manners: having more than one tRNA (with a specific anti-codon) for a particular amino acid; and 'wobble' base-pairing, i.e. permitting non-standard base-pairing at the 3rd anti-codon position. The record is from Rfam by way of RNAcentral. Lineage: Eukaryota; Fungi; Basidiomycota; Ustilaginomycetes; Ustilaginales.